RNAcentral lists this ribosomal RNA (543 nucleotides) under Heterothelphusa cf. beauvoisi HS-2008. RNAcentral's name for it is "partial 16S rRNA". It matches the Rfam family "Bacterial large subunit ribosomal RNA", at positions 1819 to 2625 of the family's 2925-position model. Lineage: Eukaryota; Metazoa; Arthropoda; Malacostraca; Decapoda; Parathelphusidae. The record is from RNAcentral.
GUCUGUUUGAAGUUUUAAAAAGUCUGGCCUGCCCACUGAUAAAAGUUUUUAAGGGCCGCAGUAUUGUGACUGUGCUAAGGUAGCAUAAUCAUUAGGUUUUUAAAUGAGAUCUUGAAUGAAUGGUUGAACAAAGAAAAAGCUGUCUUAAGUAUAAAGUUUGAAUUUUACUUUUAAGUGAGAAGGCUUAAAUAAUUUAAGGGGACGAUAAGACCCUAUAAAACUUUACAUUAAAUUCAUAUUUAAUUAAAUUUAAAAUAUAAGGAUUUAAAAUGAAAAAUUGUUUUGUUGGGGAGACAAAGGUAGAAAUUGUAGUAGCUGCUUAAAUGAAAAACAUUUUUAGGUGGAGAGUAGAAGUUCUUAAUUAAAAAUUUCAAGAUUAAGUUACUUUAGGGAUAACAGUGUAAUUUUUUUUGAGAGUUCAUAUUGAAAAAAAAGUUUGCAACCUCGAUGUUGAAUUAAAAUAUCUAUAUAAUGAAGCUGUUAUAUUAGAGGGUCUGUUCGACCUUUAAUUUUUUACAUGAUUUGAGUUCAAAUCGGCGUGAG